GUUCCUUCAGAGACAUCCGAUAAAAUUGGAACGAUACAAAAAAAAAAUUAGCAAAGUCCUUGCGGAAGAAUGACACGCACAAUCGAGAAAUGCUCAAAAGGUAU
This 104-nucleotide small nuclear RNA is filed under the name Nicotiana attenuata. The record is from RNAcentral. Lineage: Eukaryota; Viridiplantae; Streptophyta; Magnoliopsida; Solanales; Solanaceae.